CGACUGCUAAUACCCGAUGUGCCGGAAAGGUGAAAAUUUUUUGCCUCAAGAGGAGCUCGCGUCUGAUUAGCUAGUUGGUGGGGUAAAAGCGUACCAAGGCAACGAUCAGUAGCUGGUCUGAGAGGAUGAGCAGCCACACUGGGACUGAGACACGGCCCAGACUCCUACGGGAGGCAGCAGUGGGGAAUUUUCCGCAAUGGGCGAAAGCCUGACGGAGCAAUACCGCGUGAGGGAGGAAGGCCUUUGGGUUGUAAACCUCUUUUCUCAGGGAAGAAGAUCUGACGGUACCUGAGGAAUAAGCAUCGGCUAACUCCGUGCCAGCAGCCGCGGUAAUACGGAGGAUGCAAGCGUUAUCCGGAAUUAUUGGGCGUAAAGCGUCCGCAGGCGGUCUUUCAAGUCUGCUGUCAAAGACCAGAGCUUAACUCUGGGCAGGCGGUGGAAACUGAGAGACUAGAGUUCGGUAGGGGUAGCGGGAAUUCCCAGUGUAGCGGUGAAAUGCGUAGAUAUUGGGAAGAACAUCGGUGGCGAAGGCGCGCUACUGGACCGAAACUGACACUCAGGGACGAAAGCUAGGGUAGCG
This 580-nucleotide ribosomal RNA is filed under the name uncultured bacterium. Its description in RNAcentral is "bacterial SSU rRNA". It matches the Rfam family "Bacterial small subunit ribosomal RNA", at positions 157 to 770 of the family's 1533-position model. The record is from RNAcentral.